This 253-nucleotide ribosomal RNA is filed under the name uncultured bacterium. RNAcentral describes it as "partial 16S ribosomal RNA". It matches the Rfam family "Bacterial small subunit ribosomal RNA", at positions 524 to 776 of the family's 1533-position model. The record is from RNAcentral.
UACGGAGGAUGCAAGCGUUAUCCGGAUUUAUUGGGUUUAAAGGGUACGUAGGCGGAAAAUUAAGUCAGUGGUGAAAUCCCGCAGCUUAACUGUGGAACUGUCAUUGAUACUGGUUUUCUUGAAUGUAGUUGAGGUAGGCGGAAUGUGUAAUGUAGCGGUGAAAUGCUUAGAUAUUACACAGAACACCGAUUGCGAAGGCAGCUUACUAAGCUAUGAUUGACGCUGAGGUACGAAAGCGUGGGGAGCGAACACG